RNAcentral lists this transfer RNA (76 nucleotides) under Deltaproteobacteria bacterium. RNAcentral's name for it is "tRNA-Cys". It matches the Rfam family "tRNA". From Rfam's summary of the family: Transfer RNA (tRNA) molecules are approximately 80 nucleotides in length. Their secondary structure includes four short double-helical elements and three loops (D, anti-codon, and T loops). Further hydrogen bonds mediate the characteristic L-shaped molecular structure. tRNAs have two regions of fundamental functional importance: the anti-codon, which is responsible for specific mRNA codon recognition, and the 3' end, to which the tRNAs corresponding amino acid is attached (by aminoacyl-tRNA synthetases). tRNAs cope with the degeneracy of the genetic code in two manners: having more than one tRNA (with a specific anti-codon) for a particular amino acid; and 'wobble' base-pairing, i.e. permitting non-standard base-pairing at the 3rd anti-codon position. Lineage: Bacteria; Pseudomonadati; Myxococcota; Myxococcia. The record is from RNAcentral. RNAcentral also lists the same sequence under 2 other names.
GGCGGCAUAGCCAAGUGGCUAAGGCAGCGGUCUGCAAAACCGUUAUUCGCCGGUUCAAGUCCGGCUGCCGCCUCCA